RNAcentral lists this long non-coding RNA (1566 nucleotides) under Olea europaea (common olive). Its description in RNAcentral is "long non-coding RNA (OEUR_LNC006530)". The record is from RNAcentral. Lineage: Eukaryota; Viridiplantae; Streptophyta; Magnoliopsida; Lamiales; Oleaceae.
GAAAAACCAUCAUGACAAUUGCUUUGCUUGCUCAUUUAGCUUGUGAGAAAGGAAUAUGGGGCCCCCAUCUGAUUGUUGUCCCAACCAGUGUCAUGCUCAACUGGGAAACCGAGUUUCUUAAAUGGUGUCCUGCUUUUAAAAUAUUGACCUAUUUUGGAAGUGCAAAAGAGCGAAAGAUAAAGAGGCAAGGGUGGUUAAAACCCAAUUCUUUUCAUGUUUGCAUAACGACUUACAGGCUUGUGAUUCAGGAUUCAAAAGUUUUCAAGAGGAAGAAGUGGAAGUACNAAGUCGCAGAGAGCAGAAUGUUCUAUGGUUUUUAUAAUGUUUUCCAAAAUCUUAUAUAUUGUUUACUCAAAACCUUGAGGGGCAAGAUGGAAUGUCUUUGUUUCUUAGUUAUAGUGUAAAUUUGGUGGAGUAUAUUGAUAUGUUGACUUGCCUUAGCAUGUGCUGAAAAUUUCAAUGGCUUAUUUCAACGCAUUACUUUGAUGUUCAGGAUGAUGAAACAACCCUGUUAGAGGAGGAGGAAAUAGCAAAGGCAGAAUCAAAUGACACCGUGGAUGAGGUAAAAUCAUGCAUUUCUAGCUUUUCUUUUCUUAAAUACUACCUCCUAGUUUGAAGUUUUAUUUCCUCCAAAGAUUAAUCUGAAUUUUUACUUCCAAUGACAUUUGCACAUGCACAAAUUAAGGUUCAUAUGAUAAUUGAAAGCUACUGUUUUCCAGAUUGCACUGCUGCAAAGGGAAAGUGAAAUUCCUAUACAUGAGCUGCUUGCGAGGUAUAAAAAGGUAUGUUGUAGAUUGCUUUUAUAUUGUCCGUUCUGGGUUCAAAUCCCAUUUUCAUCCAGUUAUUGUAUGAAUGCUCUUCUCAGGAAAGUUGCACCGAUGAAGAUGUGGAUGUUGAUUCUGAAUCUUCACGUGCUUCUGCUUCUGAGGAAUCCUUUGCUUCACCAGCACUGAUGAACUCUGAAUGUAAGCAGCCUGGUGAUCAAUCGAAUGAAUUUCAGCCCAACACGUGCUGCCAUGCAGAAGAUGGAAUUGAGUAUAUUGGGAAAUCUAGAGAUGAUAAACAGAGUGAAAAUAUAAUUGCUGAUGCAGCUGCUGUUGCCAGGUCAGCGCAACCAACUGGAAACACAUUCUCAACAACAAAAGUGCGGACUAAGUUCCCUUUUCUUCUCAAGUAUCCUCUCCGUGAAUAUCAACAUAUUGGCUUGGAUUGGCUGGUGACAAUGUAUGAGAAGAGACUUAAUGGGAUUCUUGCUGAUGAAAUGGGUUUAGGAAAAACCAUCAUGACAAUUGCUUUGCUUGCUCAUUUAGCUUGUGAGAAAGGAAUAUGGGGCCCCCAUCUGAUUGUUGUCCCAACCAGUGUCAUGCUCAACUGGGAAACCGAGUUUCUUAAAUGGUGUCCUGCUUUUAAAAUAUUGACCUAUUUUGGAAGUGCAAAAGAGCGAAAGAUAAAGAGGCAAGGGUGGUUAAAACCCAAUUCUUUUCAUGUUUGCAUAACGACUUACAGGCUUGUGAUUCAGGAUUCAAAAGUUUUCAAGAGGAAGAAGUGGAAGUACCUGAUUCUGGA